RNAcentral lists this unclassified non-coding RNA (389 nucleotides) under Hevea brasiliensis (rubber tree). The record is from RNAcentral. Lineage: Eukaryota; Viridiplantae; Streptophyta; Magnoliopsida; Malpighiales; Euphorbiaceae.
UGGUGGAUGGACUCAAGUUUAUGGUGAAAUCCUCUCAUUUGCCACAAUAAGAGGUGCUUCUCAUGAGGCCCCAUACUCGCAGCCUGAGAGAUCACUGGUGCUAUUCAAGUCAUUUCUUGAAGGUCAACAUCUAUCAGAAGUUUUCUGAUGUUCUGGUGAUGCCCAAAGUCAUAUGAUGUUGAGAUAUUGUAUUGUAUGUAUCAAGUAACAUAUAUUAGUUAUAAUAGUCACUAAAGCAUUCUUUUGUCUUUGCAAAAAAAGAAAAAAAAAAUCAUAUAUGAGUGUGAUUAUGAGAGUUUCUCAAUGUAAUGGAUCUUUGAACUGCAGAAAUUUUGUGAGUAUUACGAGUAGAUUGGAUUAAGUAAAAUGUGAACUCAGAUUUGACACUA